CCAAUAGCCUCUGCCCCACGAUGUAGUUCCUUUCCACAAUGUUGGAGAUGAAGCUGGGCUUCGGGUCUGUACCUGCAUAUUUCUACAACUUUUCAAAGUCCCGUGGAUGAUGACGGGGGAGACAAGCCAUUCAGGAAACAGUC
This 143-nucleotide small nucleolar RNA is filed under the name Nannospalax galili (Upper Galilee mountains blind mole rat). RNAcentral describes it as "Small nucleolar RNA SNORA73 family (ENSNGAG00000006521.1)". It matches the Rfam family "Small nucleolar RNA SNORA73 family", at positions 58 to 219 of the family's 219-position model. From Rfam's summary of the family: U17 (SNORA73A and SNORA73B) also known as E1 belongs to the H/ACA class of small nucleolar RNAs (snoRNAs). Vertebrate U17 is intron-encoded and ranges in length from 200-230 nucleotides, longer than most snoRNAs. Lineage: Eukaryota; Metazoa; Chordata; Mammalia; Rodentia; Spalacidae. The record is from RNAcentral.